Non-coding RNA from Triticum urartu, 125 nucleotides. Lineage: Eukaryota; Viridiplantae; Streptophyta; Magnoliopsida; Poales; Poaceae. The record is from Rfam.
AAUGUACUCCCUCCGUCCGGAAUUAUUUGUCGCAGAAAUGGAUAAAAAUGGAUGUAUCUAGAACUAAAAUACGUCUAAAUACAUUCAUUCCUCCGACAAGUAUUUCUGGACCGGGGGGGGGGGGG